AAGUCGUAACAAGGUUUCCGUAGGUGAACCUGCGGAAGGAUCAUUAUCCUUUAGCUUAGUAUUCUAAACAAGUACUAAAAGCGCAUGCACCAAUGUGUUGCGUAAAAAUGCACAGCGAAGUGGGCCUCGUCCCGCGUUGCUUCCAAAUCCAGUGCUCGCUGCGAGCGCUGGUCGGGUACCUAGGUACGCAAGUACACCAAGCGGCAGAUACGUAUGUCUGCCGUGUGGCGUAAAGAUUAUUCGGAGCAUCCCGGAUAACGCCCGCUUAGCACAAAAAUUUUAUACCAAUUAAUCACACUUAUUUAUGUUGUAUGUGUAACGCACUAUCCCAUACUACUAUGAGAUAAUAACACAAAUACAACCCUAUGCGGUGGAUCAUUUGGCUC
RNAcentral lists this unclassified non-coding RNA (386 nucleotides) under fungal sp. Its description in RNAcentral is "partial internal transcribed spacer region". The stretch from base 1 to 46 matches the Rfam family "Eukaryotic small subunit ribosomal RNA", at positions 1786 to 1831 of the family's 1831-position model. Lineage: Eukaryota; Fungi. The record is from RNAcentral.